Molecule: long non-coding RNA, 656 nt
Filed under: Trifolium pratense (red clover)
Lineage: Eukaryota; Viridiplantae; Streptophyta; Magnoliopsida; Fabales; Fabaceae
Description: long non-coding RNA (TPRA_LNC007968)
Source: RNAcentral
GAGAAACUCUUCUCUAGGCACAGUUACAACACCUAAAUUUUAGGCACAACCAAUAAAGUCUUGACAGCUCAUAAAAGAACAGAUGAAAAGGAAACACGUGAUAUCGCUCUCUUUUCUGAAAGAAAAACAAAAACAAAACUUCUUUCUCUCUUUCAGCAAGUUCUCGUAGGAUAUGAAAUUUCUUCUCAAAUUUUUCCUUGCCUUUCCACUCUGCCGCCGUGUUCACACCUCUGCCUAAGAAGAUAUCAGAGAAGAACUCAAUAUUUUAACCAUGUAUUUUGUAGAGGUUGGGGGGAUGAUUUUGGGUUUUAGGGUUCCAAUUAUUUUCAAUUAGUUAAGAAUCAAAUUGGAUCUUAGGAUUUCUUACGGGCUCUAUGGUGAAACUUUUCAUCCCAAUUCUGUUUGAUUUUUUAUUGGUGGAGGAAUAUGAGUUUGGAAAAAUCGAGAAAUCACUUAUUGGCGGAAAAUCGAGAAAUCCAGAAAUCGGUGAACCUUUUCUCAAAUGUUGGCUUCCAUUGACACUUCCAUUUUUAGUUUAUUCCUUGACAAUUUGUGUGUAUUGUUAUUAUUAGGUACAUUUAAUGUAAUUGAAAGAUUUUGUUUCUAUUGUAUGAGUUUUAUCCAUCAAUGACAAUGAAAUCAUUUUAUUUUUAUCA